RNAcentral lists this ribosomal RNA (506 nucleotides) under uncultured bacterium. RNAcentral's name for it is "partial 16S ribosomal RNA". It matches the Rfam family "Bacterial small subunit ribosomal RNA", at positions 28 to 523 of the family's 1533-position model. The record is from RNAcentral.
GAUGAACGCUAGCUACAGGCUUAACACAUGCAAGUCGAGGGGUAACGAGAGGAAAGCUUGCUUUCCUUGUCGACGACCGGCGCACGGGUGAGUAACGCGUAUCCAACCUGCCCCCAACUAGGGAAUAACCUUGCGAAAGUAAGACUAAUACCCUAUAAUUUCCUCAGAUGCCAUCUGACGAGGAAUAAAGCUUUAUCGGUUGUGGAUGGGGAUGCGUCUGAUUAGCUUGUGGGCGGGGUAACGGCCCACCAAGGCAAGGAUCAGUAGGGGUUCUGAGAGGAAGGUCCCCACCAUUGGAACUGAGACACGGUCCAAACUCCUACGGGAGGCAGCAGUGAGGAAUAUUGGUCAAUGGGCGGAAGCCUGAACCAGCCAAUUAGCGUGCAGGAUGACGGCCCUAUGGGUUGUAAACUGCUUUUAUACAGGAAUAAAGUUAGCCACGUGAGGUUAUUUGUAGGUACUGUAUGAAUAAGGACCGGCUAAUUCCGUGCCAGCCGCCGCCGUAA